GACGAACGCUGGCGGCGUGCUUAACACAUGCAAGUCGAACGGAAAGGCCCUGCUUUUGUGGGGUGCUCGAGUGGCGAACGGGUGAGUAACACGUGAGUAACCUGCCCUUGACUUUGGGAUAACUUCAGGAAACUGGGGCUAAUACCGGAUAGGAGCUCCUGCUGCAUGGUGGGGGUUGGAAAGUUUCGGCGGUUGGGGAUGGACUCGCGGCUUAUCAGCUUGUUGGUGGGGUAGUGGCUUACCAAGGCUUUGACGGAUAGCCGGCCUGAGAGGGUGACCGGCGACAAUGGGACUAAGAUACGGACCAGACUCCUACGGGAGGCAGAAGUGGAGAAUAUUGCGCAAUGGGCGGAAGCGUGAUGCAGCAACGCCGCGUGCGGGAUGACGGCCUUCGAGUUGUAAACCGCUUUCGCCUGUGACGAAGCGUGAGUGACGGUAAUGGGUAAAGAAGCACCGGCUAACUACGUG
Molecule: ribosomal RNA, 468 nt
Filed under: uncultured bacterium
Lineage: Bacteria
Description: partial 16S ribosomal RNA
Rfam family: Bacterial small subunit ribosomal RNA
Source: RNAcentral